Molecule: ribosomal RNA, 253 nt
Filed under: uncultured bacterium
Lineage: Bacteria
Description: partial 16S ribosomal RNA
Rfam family: Bacterial small subunit ribosomal RNA
Source: RNAcentral
UACGUAGGGUGCGAGCGUUAAUCGGAAUUACUGGGCGUAAAGCGUGCGCAGGCGGUUUUGUAAGCCAGAUGUGAAAGCCCCGGGCUUAACCUGGGAAUGGCAUUUGGGACUGCAAGGCUAGAGUGCGGCAGAGGAGACUGGAAUUCCUGGUGUAGCAGUGAAAUGCGUGGAUAUCAGGAGGAAUACCGAUGGCGAAGGCAGGUCUCUGGGCUGACACUGACGCUCAUGCACGAAAGCGUGGGGAGCAAACAGG